RNAcentral lists this microRNA precursor (166 nucleotides) under Pelobates cultripes (western spadefoot toad). Lineage: Eukaryota; Metazoa; Chordata; Amphibia; Anura; Pelobatidae. The record is from RNAcentral.
GCAGACACAUUCCAGCCAAUCAGCAGCAGACCCUCCCUCCCAGACCCUCCCACCUCCUGGACAGCUCCAAGAAUGCAGCUUCACAAUGAAUGUAAAAUGGAUGCUGUCCAGGAGGUGGGAGGGUCUGGGAGGGAGGGUCUGCUGCUGAUUGGCUGGAAUGUGUCUG